CACAGGCUACAGAUCACAGAUCUACUGAUUAAACCAGUGCAGCGGAUCAUGAAAUACCAGCUUCUUCUGAAGGAUUUUCUCAAGUUCUCCAAAAGGCUGGAUUGGACACUAUAGAAUUAGAGAAAGCUGUAGAGGUGAUGUGUGUUGUUCCAAA
Molecule: long non-coding RNA, 154 nt
Organism: Puntigrus tetrazona (Sumatra barb)
Lineage: Eukaryota; Metazoa; Chordata; Actinopteri; Cypriniformes; Cyprinidae
Exons: 3
Source: RefSeq, a predicted model, not a curated record